RNAcentral lists this unclassified non-coding RNA (496 nucleotides) under Hevea brasiliensis (rubber tree). The record is from RNAcentral. Lineage: Eukaryota; Viridiplantae; Streptophyta; Magnoliopsida; Malpighiales; Euphorbiaceae.
CGAAGGUCGAAGGUCCUAUAGCGUUCCCGUCACAAAAGCGGCAAUCGACCGUUUUAGACGAAUCCAACACCCAAUCUAGCAUUUUUCGGUCUUUUCUGACGAAGCUAGUGCCCAAUCUGUCGUUUUUCGAUGAAGCCGACGUAUUUUUCUGUCACAGCACCAGCGAUCGGCAAGCUUAGCGCCUCCAUCCGUGGUGGGUUCAUCUUUCGGUCGUUGCAGGUCACCGUCGGUUUGUCGGCUUUGCUGUCCGUGGGUCGAUUGUUGCUGCCAAUUGGUUUUUCCGCCCGCCUCGCCGGAGUUCAUCGUUGGGUGUGAAUGCUAGAUUCAAGUUGCUUUGAGGGAGUUGGUCGACCUAAGGGUUGUUUGUGGCGAUUCUAGCUUGGGUGUUUUGUCGGAGGCGUUGUGUUUGAAUCCAAAGCUUCGUACUAAGACAUGUGUGUCGAGUCUUACUGACUUAAGGGAAGGCCCCGUGAUUGUUAUUCAGACUUGAUUCAAG